Non-coding RNA from Durio zibethinus, 2389 nucleotides. Lineage: Eukaryota; Viridiplantae; Streptophyta; Magnoliopsida; Malvales; Malvaceae. The record is from RefSeq and is a predicted model, not a curated record.
CUUUCUGUGUAUAAAAACCUUAGACAUCAGAAAGCCAAAAGGAAAAAAAAAAAAAGGAGUUAAAAGAAAACAGUAAAGGGAAACGAAAUGGCAGACGUCGCUCCGGGAAACGCCGGCGGUCACUUCGGAGAAUUUCCGGCGAUUCAGACACACGGCGGUCAAUUUAUUCAGUAUAAUAUUUUUGGAAAUUUAUUUGAGAUAACGUCUAAGUAUCGGCCUCCGAUCAUGCCGAUCGGUCGUGGAGCCUACGGCAUCGUUUGCUCCGUAUUGAAUUCGGAGACGAAUGAGAUGGUGGCGGUAAAGAAAAUUGCCAAUGCUUUCGAUAAUCACAUGGACGCUAAGCGUACACUUCGUGAGAUUAAGCUCCUUCGACAUUUGGAUCACGAAAACGUUAUUGCAAUUAGAGAUGUGAUUCCUCCACCUUUGCGGAGAGAAUUUGCUGAUGUCUACAUUGCCACAGAGCUUAUGGAUUCAGAUCUUCACCAGAUCAUUCGCUCCAAUCAGAGUUUAUCCGAAGAGCAUUGUCAGUAUUUCUUGUAUCAGAUUCUUCGAGGACUGAAGUACAUACAUUCUGCAAACGUGAUUCAUAGAGAUUUGAAACCUAGCAACCUCUUGCUGAAUGCUAAUUGUGAUCUUAAGAUUUGUGACUUUGGUCUUGCUAGAUCUGCUGCUGCUGAGAAUGAGUUUAUGACUGAAUAUGUUGUCACGAGAUGGUAUAGGGCACCAGAGCUAUUGCUGAACUCUUCAGACUACACAGCUGCCAUAGAUGUGUGGUCUGUUGGUUGCAUUUUUAUGGAGCUCAUGAAUAGAAAGCCUUUGUUUCCUGGCAGAGAUCAUGUACAUCAAAUGCAGUUAUUGACUGAGCUGCUUGGCACACCAACUGAAUCUGAUCUUGGGUUUCUCCGAAAUGAGGAUGCAAGAAGAUAUAUCAGGCAGCUCCCUGCACAUCCUCGCCAACCACUGGCAAAUGUUUUCUCACAUGUUCAUCCAUUGGCUCUUGAUCUCAUUGACAGAAUGUUGACAUUUGAUCCAACCAAAAGAAUUACUGUUGAAGAAGCAUUGGCCCAUCCUUAUCUUGAAAGAUUACACGACAUAGCUGAUGAACCAGUCUGCCCUGAGCCUUUUUCUUUUGACUUUGAGCAGCAACCAUUGGGAGAAGAGCAGAUGAAGGACAUGAUUUACAAGGAGGCCUUAGCUCUGAAUCCUGAUUAUGCUUAAUAAUAAAAUAUAGUGAUCCUAUUUGGUUCACUGGAUACUUCUAUUUUCUGAAUGUGCCAAUCCAAGUAAUUUGGUGUAUAAGUUUGUGGUGGCUGAUAGAUAGCACCCAGAAUAGGCUGGUGGGUUGCGGACUGAGAUAUCCUAUUUUUGCUUUUGCAAUUUCUUUGAAGUGGAUUUACUGCUUUUGCACCCAUGACCGCCCUGCCCUUUGAUUCUGGCUUUCAUGAGAUCAAAUAGAAUUUUGGAUGUCCUAAUUCAUGUUAAGUUAAAGUCGAUAUAUUGUUGAACAUCUUUGCAUCAGCAUCCUGUGCUGUUGUUGGAUGUGGAAGUACAACUGUCCAAGACUCCAAAGAAGAAGCCUGGCUUUUAUUUGGUAUUGGAUUUUGAUAGAACAUUUUCGCUAUGUAGAAUAGCUAAAAAGCACAGGAGCCUUUGAAAUUCGUAUGACUUGGUGAACUGAAACCAAAAAGAAUACGACUGUUGUUCCUGCUCACUACGCUGUCACCUCACUGCAUUUUCGCAUGGUCCGGGUGUUCAGCUGAUGUCAUCGGUUGUGCCUGCUCACUACACUGAGGAUGCAUUUCAUUUGACCAUCUUGGUCAAAUAACAUUUACAAAUAAUUCAACCAUUAUUGAACUCAGAGGGGAACAAUUAAAAGCUGCAAGCAUUUUCUAUUGGGAAGAAAGAGCAUCUAUAUGGUUAUGAUGAUGGUGAGGAACUUAUUGAGUGCCUAUACUGGCCUUAUGACUACUUCCACAACUAGCAGUGGUUGGAAUUGGAGAAGCAUUUCAUCUCCCAGGACAACUUACAUUACAUUAUCGAGAUUUCCCUGUUUCAUUAAAAAAAACAGCAACUGCCAUGGUUUCUGCUGUUAUCAGGAUCGCUUACUAUGUCAGUACAGCUCUGGUUGAUCUGAUCAGGAACGUCACGAGGUGUUUUCCUGAUAAUAAAAACAAUAAUGGAGGGCUAGACAAUGUAUAUUGGAGCUUUGUUCUUAUAGGGUUGUUAUUAUCUAGUCUGUGCUAGUUUAUACAAAUAUCAAAAUUUUGAUAAACUGCAAGUUGAUGGAGAAACAAGCCAAUCGGUUUUAAUAUAUUCCUUUAUUACAAAUGACAAUGAGCUGUUAACUCAAUGGUAUCGGAGUCGGGAGCUGAGAUCUCGAAUUUAAACU